This is a long non-coding RNA of Herpailurus yagouaroundi (jaguarundi), 721 nucleotides long. RefSeq lists it as uncharacterized. The record is from RefSeq and is a predicted model, not a curated record. The transcript has 2 exons. Lineage: Eukaryota; Metazoa; Chordata; Mammalia; Carnivora; Felidae.
AGUAUUUACUUAUUUUUAAUAAGUUGAUACUGCUGUUUUGUUCAGUGUUGCUGGUCUUUGAUUAUAGAAUUCAUGGAAAUAUUAAUAACUCCCUGAUAGCUUAGAUAAGAAUCUGGUUUCUAAAAUGCUAGUGAACUUGAAAGGUAACACAAAUGCUUAUUUCCUAACUGGAUUGCUUAUUUCCAAAUAUGUGAUUGUUAGGAAAUUAUGUUAAAUCUUAUCCUCCCUUAUUAUAAAAAAGCUAGAAGUAAUGACAGCCUGUCUGUUGCAUAUCAUUUCCUCAACGAUUAGGUUCCUCUCUGAAGGAUUAUGUACAGAUUGCUUUUAUUUCAAUAGUAUCCUGCUUGUCAAAUCAAAUACGAUUCUACUUGUUUUAGGUAACUGCACACUUGUUUACUUAUGAGCCUACACUCGGGAGUCCCAGACUUAAUGCUUUGGAACCUUUACAUGUUUAUUUUAAAAAUCAGGUGUUUAACUUGUGAAAAUCGCAUGUAGUAAAGCUAAAAAAGAAACUUACUUUAAAAACAAACAAAAUCCCCCAAACAAUCCUUUACCCCACUUUAAUUUUGACCUAGGCGUAUAUUAACUUCUCAUUUUCAUCUUCCUGUACACAUAAUUUAUAGUUGUAAUGUCUAUAUAACUAUUGUACUGCAAUGGAUCAUAAAUAUUUUCCCAUUUCCACAUAUGCCUUAAUAAUAAAAAUGAUGAUGUGUGUAUGUUA